RNAcentral lists this ribosomal RNA (509 nucleotides) under Euprymna hyllebergi. RNAcentral describes it as "partial large subunit ribosomal RNA". It matches the Rfam family "Bacterial large subunit ribosomal RNA", at positions 1848 to 2619 of the family's 2925-position model. The record is from RNAcentral. Lineage: Eukaryota; Metazoa; Mollusca; Cephalopoda; Sepiida; Sepiolidae.
AAGAGUUGGGCCUGCUCAGUGAUGAAAUUUAACAGCUGCGGUAUUUUAACUGUACUAAGGUAGCAUAAUAGUUUGCCUUAUAAUUUGAGGCUGGAAUGAAUGGUUUGACGAAGGUUAAUCUGUCUCUAUCUUAUUUAAUAGAAAUUAAUUUUUAAAGUGAAAAAGCUUAGAUUUUUUAAAGGGACGAGAAGACCCUAUUGAGCUUGUAAUUUUAUUUUUAUUAUAUUAUAUAAUAUAACAUGAAUUUUAAUUGGGGUGAUUAAGGAAUAAGGUAAUAAAUAAUGUAGUAACUUCCUUAAAAUUAAUAUAUAUAUUUAUGAAUUAACCAACUAUUUUGUUGCUUAUAAUAUAGUUACCAUAGGGAUAACAGCGUAAUUUAUUUAGAGAGUUCUUAUUAAAAAAUGAGAUUGCGACCUCGAUGUUGGAUUAAAGUAACCUUAGGGUGUAGAAGCUCUAGUUGGUAAAUCUGUUCGAUUUUUAAAACUUUACAUGAUCUGAGUUCAGACCGG